This 1025-nucleotide long non-coding RNA is filed under the name Scleropages formosus (Asian bonytongue). RNAcentral's name for it is "lncRNA (ENSSFOG00015025646.1)". Lineage: Eukaryota; Metazoa; Chordata; Actinopteri; Osteoglossiformes; Osteoglossidae. The record is from RNAcentral.
GCUUUCAUACUUUCACCUGAAGUUUAUGAAAUCAUUAGUUCUUAAAUUUAUUUGAUAUAAUGUUAGUAUUACUUUUUAUCAGUUCUUUUUGUAAUGCAUACACAGCUUUUUUCCCUAUGAUAUUGGGAUGAUUUUGGGUUAAAUGUUUUUUGAGUGCCUUUAAUACUAAUUGAAACAUAAACUGGUUUGAUUUUUCCACCAGUGUUUUGAUAACAUCUGACAUCUGAUCACUAAGUUUAAAGCCAGUAAGUCUCCAUUGCUCUAUUUCUGAAAGAAUAAUGAUUUCCUAUUUUGCGAUUUGCAAAAAAAAAAAAAAAGACCUACUGUUUCUGUUUCUGUCUCACACACUCACACGCACGCACACACACACACACUCACUAACUUACUAGCAAAGGCACGCAAACACAUGCCAGUGCGUCUGCGCUGACGUUUCCCAGUCCCAGUCGGCCCAUUAUAAAUGGGCAUCUGGGUUUGCCAUAAUAAACACACUCUGACUGUACACUGUGCAGACGCCCUCAGUUGAAACCAUGCGUGUCUCCUUCCCCCCCACUCCCCCAUCCAGGGGAGAUGCCCUCCACCAGGUUGGCACGACAACAGCCUGAUUGGAAGCUGAUAGGCCAUGGUGGGUGGCAUGGCCAUGGGUGCCGGGGCCAGUGGAAGGAAGGGGGAGAGCCAGCUGGGUAAAGGAGGGAGUCAAACGGACCUGGAUGACUGCCCGCUGUCCUCCAACUCAUUCACCCUAGUCCUCCCAUGACUGUGUCAGACACGGAGACCCAGUAGGAGAUGGACACAAGCCACCAUUCAUUUCCUAAAUCUCGUCGUACAUGCUGCUUGGACCAUGGACACAUUCUCCCUGGCACCUCUCAGGAUAUGGGCAUUAGUGAUUAAAGAGGUAGGCAACUCUCCACUUGCUACUUGCCAUUACCACUCACCAUGACCUCAGAACACAGCCAGCAGCAGCAGCAGGACAUACUCUUUGAUUUUUUUUUUUUUUUUUUUUUUUUUUAACUACAGGGUGAAAUUUG